CUAAUAAUUAGGUCUUGUUCGACACUUCGCCCUGUUUUAUCAAAAACAUGUCCUUUUGAUUAAUAUUUUAAGGUCCGGCCUGCUCACUGACAAGGUUUUAAAGAGCCGCGGAAUUUUGCCCGUGCAAAGGUAGCAUAAUCAUUACUCUCUUAAUUAGAGGCUGGAAUGAAUGGCUUGACGAAAAAUCAUCUGUCUUUUAAUAAUUUAUAUAAUUUAACUUUGGAGUUAAAAGGGCUUAAAUUUUUUUUUAGGACGAGAAGCACCCUAUAGAGCUUAACAUUUUAUUUAUAUAUAAUUUUUUGUUGGUUUUUCUAUAAAUAUUGUUGAUGUUUGGUGGGGGGGACAGGAAAAAAAAAUAAACUCUUCAUUAUUAAAUCAUUAGUUUAUGUUAUUAUGACCCAAAAUUUAGGAUCAUAAAAUUAAGUUACCUUAGGGAAAACAGCGUAAUUGUUUUUGAAAGCUCAUAUCAACAAACCAAAUUGCAACCUCAAUGUUGGAUUAAAAAAAAUGUUAGGGGUAGGAGUCUAAAAAUUAGGCCUGUUCAACCUUUAAAUUCUUACAUGAUCUGAGUCCAACCGGAUUUUACAGACUGGCCU
RNAcentral lists this ribosomal RNA (596 nucleotides) under Hieroglyphus banian. RNAcentral describes it as "partial large subunit ribosomal RNA". It matches the Rfam family "Archaeal large subunit ribosomal RNA", at positions 1853 to 2706 of the family's 2987-position model. The record is from RNAcentral. Lineage: Eukaryota; Metazoa; Arthropoda; Insecta; Orthoptera; Acrididae.